AACUCGAUCUCAAAUCAAGUAAGACUACCCGCUGAACUUAAGCAUAUCAAUAAGCGGAGGAAAAGAAACUAACAGGAUUCCCCUAGUAACGGCGAGUGAAGCGGGAUGAGCUCAAAUUUAAAAUCUGGCUGGUUUACUAGUCCGAAUUGUAGUUUAUAGAAGCGUUUUCGGUGGCAGCCUGGGUAUAAAUCCUUUGGAAUAGGGUAUCAUAGAGGGUGAGAAUCCCGUCUUUGACUCAGUGCAUGCUACUAUGUGAUACGUUUUCAAAGAGUCGAGUUGUUUGGGAAUGCAGCUCAAAAUGGGUGGUAAAUUUCAUCUAAAGCUAAAUAUUGGCGAGAGACUGAUAGCGAACAAGUACCGUGAGGGAAAGAUGAAAAGAACUUUGAAAAGAGAGUUAAACAGUGCGUGAAAUUGUUGAAAGGGAAACGUUUGACACCAGUUAUGCGGGUGGAAAAUCAGUCUUUUGCAAUGGGGAGUUGUGGGCGUUCAGACCGCAAGGCUGGCGUUUGCUUCAUCUUUGUUGUAAGUGAUGCACUUUUUCAUUUGCAGGUCAACAUCAGUUUGCUUUGCUGGACAAAACCCCAAGGGAAGGUGGCAGCUUAGGCUGUGUUAUAGCCCUGGGGCGAUACAGUGGAGUGGACUGAGGUUUCGCAGUGUGUGCUCUCGGGCAAGGCUGACUGGGUGCUAUGGGAUCGUUCGGCGUACAAUGCAUGCAUUUUGCGUCGUGUCUUUUUCAUACUCGCUCAACUCGGCUCUUCCACACUUAGGAUGUUGACUUAAUGGUUUUAAACGACCCGUCUUGAAACACGGACCAAGGAGUCUAACAUAUAUGCAAGUGUUUGGGUGGCAAACCCAUGCGCGUAAUGAAAGUGAACGUAGGUGCGAUCCGCAA
Molecule: ribosomal RNA, 892 nt
Filed under: uncultured Ascomycota
Lineage: Eukaryota; Fungi; Ascomycota
Description: eukaryotic LSU rRNA
Rfam family: Eukaryotic large subunit ribosomal RNA
Source: RNAcentral